GAAUAAGAAGCGAAUUAUUGCAUUCAGUUUCGACCUGAAAAAAAAUGGUAUUUUAUACGUUAUUCU
This 66-nucleotide transfer RNA is filed under the name Mongolotettix japonicus. RNAcentral's name for it is "tRNA-Arg". Lineage: Eukaryota; Metazoa; Arthropoda; Insecta; Orthoptera; Acrididae. The record is from RNAcentral.